UUGACAGCCCUGGAGAAUGAAUUCCUCUUUAUCCACAGAACAGGUAUAGCAUGGGUAGCAGUAGUAUAAACCUCUUCCUACCUUCCCCCCCCAAAAACUGUCCUUCACAGGUACCUCAGAUUUUUCAGACCACCUCAAUUAGUUCAGUCUCUUUAUACCUGGUCAUCCCUUGGUCUUU
RNAcentral lists this small RNA (178 nucleotides) under Crocodylus porosus (Australian saltwater crocodile). Its description in RNAcentral is "TUC338 (ENSCPRG00005018649.1)". The record is from RNAcentral. Lineage: Eukaryota; Metazoa; Chordata; Crocodylia; Crocodylidae.